Vicia faba (fava bean) is the source of this 207-nucleotide non-coding RNA. Lineage: Eukaryota; Viridiplantae; Streptophyta; Magnoliopsida; Fabales; Fabaceae. The record is from the annotation of a GenBank genome assembly.
AUGGAGGGAGUACACAGCUGGGUUCGUGAACGGAUGAUGGCACUGGGUUGGUUGUAUCGCGAGUUUGGUGGUGAUAGUUGUGAGGUAGUAAUGGUGGGAUACGAUGGAGAGGUUAUUGCUGACCGGAAAUUGACAGAAAGGAAGGUGAAGCUGGAAUUGAAGAGAAGAAGGAGUAUUGAGCACAGUGAGAUAAUAGAUGGGUGGUGA